RNAcentral lists this ribosomal RNA (387 nucleotides) under uncultured bacterium. RNAcentral describes it as "bacterial SSU rRNA". It matches the Rfam family "Bacterial small subunit ribosomal RNA", at positions 28 to 419 of the family's 1533-position model. The record is from RNAcentral.
GACGAACGCUGGCGGCGUGCUUAACACAUGCAAGUCGAGCGGUAAGGCCCUUUCGGGGGUACACGAGCGGCGAACGGGUGAGUAACACGUGGGUGACCUGCCCUCAGCUCUGGGAUAAGCCUGGGAAACUGGGUCUAAUACUGGAUAUGACUCCACGGUGCAUGUCGUGGGGUGGAAAGCCUUGUGCGGCUGAGGAUGGGCCCGCGGCCUAUCAGCUUGUUGGUGGGGUGAUGGCCUACCAAGCGACGACGGGUAGCCGGCCUGAGAGGCGACCGGCCACACUGGACUGAGACACGGCCCAGACUCCUACGGGAGGCAGCAGUGGGGAAUCUUGCGCAAUGGGCGAAAGCCUGACGCAGCGACGCCGCGUGAGGGAUGACGGCCUGG